Heterocephalus glaber (naked mole-rat) is the source of this 3077-nucleotide long non-coding RNA. Lineage: Eukaryota; Metazoa; Chordata; Mammalia; Rodentia; Bathyergidae. The record is from Ensembl.
UCACCCUUACUCUCGAGGCUGAUCCUGAUUCUAAGAAAUAAAGCUUGCUCACCAUGGAAAUUGAUAAUACUUAACCCGCUAUCACUACAGUUCGAGCAUCCCCAGAAAAAUCUCAAACCCCAAAUCCCCCAAAAUCCAAAACUUUUGAGCAUCAACAUAAUGCCACAAAUGGAAAAUAAUACACCUGACCUAUAUGGGAGUCACAGUCAAAACAUAGCCACCCUAAAAAUACUGUAUAAAACUACUCUUAGGUUAAUUUGUAUAAAUAUAUGAAACACAAAUGAAUUUAGACUUGGGUUACAUCCACAGGAUGCAUCGUUGUGUAUAUACACAUAUUCCAGAAUCUGAAAAAAGUCCAAGACUUCUGGCCUCAGUCAUCUCAGAUAAGGCAGCAGACUUUGGUCUUCCUGGCCAAAGGGUACACCUUGACAGUGUGGAAGCAAACCUGCUUGAAGACAACCCUCUCCCUCACUGUUCUCCUCUGAUGUCCUGCUUGGGCAUUAAGGACUAGGCUGUGGGGAGAGAGGGAGAAGAACAACAGGAAGAAAGAAGAUUCUGUGGGGAACAAAGAAUGCAAAUGCUAGUGACAGCCCUCUAGCCAUGUGGAUUAUCUUUGCCGUGACCAAAUCCCUGACACGCACAGUUUAAAAGAGGAAAAGUUUAUUUGGUUUAUGGUUGCAGAUAUUUCAGUUCAUGGAAUUUCACCCAGGAUGAAUUCCUGCCCAAAUGUCGAUUUUAUUGGCUGUCUCCCAUGACAUUUCUUCAUGUUUUGCCACGGUGAAAAUAAAAAAAAGAUCAAGGUUAGUUUGGGAGCAUCAAAAUAAUGAAGAGACCCCCGUUCAUUUUGUCUUACUUUGCUAAAGAACCAAAUUUGAGGAAGUCUACAGCAGGGUGAAGUAAAAGGAUUGUCAGAAGUUUCCUUAGAGAAGGGCAGAGAAAAAGAGGAAGCAGUGGGAGAAGAUAAGCUCUGGAAAUCCAGUCUGGUUUGUGUGAGGAAAUCACCUUUUUCAAAUGGGAAGCGGAUCAGGAGAUGGAGGGAGAGGGAGAGAGGAGGAAAGGGGAUUGAGGAAAGGAAGGAAGAUGUGUAACUGCACCAGCUCUGUACAAGGAGUGUAAACAUCAUGUGCUGCAAACAUGGAGUAAUGGAAAAACUAAAACAUCACGGAGACGCAGCUGCACAGGGAAAGUGUUACAUCCACGUAGUCCUCAUCUUGAGAGCAGUCACGUGUGAUGUAUUGUUAAUCUCGAGUGGGAGGAAACCCACAACUAAUCUCAGAAAGAGCAAAUGGGUGAACCUGCAUAGAAGAAAUAUUUCCAAAAAAAAGAAACAACGAGUUCAAAUAGCAAAGAAAAUAAGGUACUGGCACUGAAUGAAAUAUGAAUAGAUGAUGUUCUUCCAUUAAGCUUAAAGACCAGGGGUUGAGAUUUGGUGGGGGAAGAGGCUGUCUACAAGAGACACUGCACAUCAGUAAAGAAAGACAGAAAGUGAAGGACCUACAAAGAUCAAGUUUAUGCCAAUUAUAAAUGGGAAAAUGUAUGAGAAUGUGUGACACAAACAUGUAAAUAUCAAGCCACUUAACAACUAGCCAAAUACAUAGAGAAAACCAUUGGGAAUUUGAUAAAUCUUAUAAAAUAUGAUUCUGACUAAAGAUUCCAGUGCUUCUUGGCCCGAAUCAGACAGAAUGAAAGCAACCAAGGACUGAGAAAGACAAUCUUACGUCACUUAAAGAUCAACAUGCCGGCGUCCUGUACUCUGAACUUUCUGAUGCUGAUACCGUCUUGAUUUCUUAAUCUUUCCAGAACACUUCAUCUAAGGGUUAACGUAUCUACAUCACUACCCCUGUGGGAAGACAACCAUGACAUGAUGCAUUCAGUUCCACAGAGGUUAAAAUGUAGGAAACAAGGGAUUAUUUUAGAAUCAAAGUUAUGGCUUUUUUUUAUGUGUCAAUAAAAUAUUUGCACAAGAAUGUCAUAUACUUGACUACAAAGUAUGAAUUGUGAUAAAAGUCUAUUUUAAUAAAUAAAUAAAAGUCUGUUUAAAGAAGAAAUCUGAUCAACAAAAUCUCAAAGUCUUGAAAGACUCAAAGGUUAAGAAAGACAUUCCUGGAUGACCCUUAUGUCAAAGAUAAAAUUGAAAAACUAAACAUUUUAGAAAAGAAUGAACUGAAGAACAAUUUUCACCAAGUCUUAUAGAACAGAGAACUUUUCAGUGAAACUUCUAGCCUUUAAAUGCUUUCAUUAUUAAGAACAAAAGAAAGAUUAAAAGUAAAGGGAUUCAGAAUUUAUCUGUAAAAAUUAAAUCAAGGACCACAAAUAAACCGAUGUCAGCAGAAGAGUCAAUAAAGAAAGUUCAACAUAUUAGUCAAGAUACAUAGAGAAACAGAAUAUUAAAUAUAAUGUAGGACUUCAGUCUGAGGUCAGUGGAAAACCUUUAAAAAGUUUGAAAUCCUAAGAGUUACAUAACGAAUGUAGACGUUUCUGGCAACAUAAAAAUUAAAAUUAGAUUUAACAAAAUCAACACAAAAGCAACAGACAGGAAAUAAAUCAUCAUUUUAUAUAAAUGACAGACACAUGGUCAGUGUGUAAAAUAUGCAAUAAUUCUUAAAUGACAAAAUGGAAGGGCACACAAAGAGAAAAAACUUCAGCAAGGCAAAUAAAAUUGAACAAGAACAUUUGAAAAAAUGUUCAAACACACUAGCAGCCAAGAGAAAACAAAUGAAAUAGCAGUAACUCUUUGACUGAUUGAUUGACUUAUUAUUUUUAUUGUUUUGAGAAGAGUCUUGCGCUAUAGUUCAGGCUGGCCUUGAACUCAUAGUGAUCCUCCUGCCUCAGCCUCCCUAGGAUUACAGGCAUGUGCCACCACACCCAGCCUUCAAUUUAUGAGAUUAAUAAAAAUUGAGACAUAACACUUGUCUUAGCAGAGGGUAAAGAUUUACAAUAAGCACUAAAAAUGAAGAUUUUAGAAAAUAUUUUCAAAUUACCCGUAUACCUAUCUAGAAAUGCAGUUAAACUCUACUAAAAUAUUUUGGCUUAAACAAUGGACUUGAUAUUAGGUAAGCCAUGACAGUAACAAGUUG